GUUGUACGUUACAUAGCCCACAAUACAGUAUUAAAACUGUAGGCCUGAUGUAUUAUAGUCUACAAUACAGUAUUAAAACUGUAGACCUGAUGUAUUAUAGUCUACAAUACAGUAUUACAACUGUAGACCUGAUGUAUUAUAGUCUACAAUACAGUAUUACAACUGUAGGUCUGCUGUAUUAUAGUCUACAAUACAGUAUUACAACUGUAGACCUGAUGCAUUAUAGUCUACAAUACAGUAUUACAAGUGUCAAUGUCUAUUUUCCAUGUCCCAAGUUGGUGCCAGCCACAGUUAAGGUCAAUGACACUGGUAGGGAAACAACAGACUAAGGGCUCUAUUCAGUCUAGAUCACCAAAGUGUUUACAGACCAGGAAGUGUUACAGAUCAGGAAGUGUUUACAGAUCAGGAAGUGUUUACAGACCAGGAAGUGUUACAGACCAGGAAGUGUUUACAGACCAGGAAGUGUUACAGACCAGGAAGUGUUACAGAUCAGGAAGUGUUUACAGACCAGGAAGUGUUUACAGACCAGGAAGUUGUUACAGAUCAGGAAGUGUUACAGAUCAGGAAGUGUUACAGAUCAGAACGUGUUUACAGAUCAGGAAGUGUUUACAGACCAGGAAGUGUUUACAGACCAGGAAGUGUUUACAGACCAGGAAGUGUUACAGAUCACGAAGUGUUACAGAUCAGGAAGCAAUAUACAUUUUAAAGUAAUUUCCGACUGAGACAACAUAGCCUAUGCUGCGUUUGCCGUGAAUGCAGUCUCCGCCAACGUGGGAACAUUGCCUUUAAACUUCCGGAUUGAACCCUUACCCUAAAAACACGUACAAACAUAACUGAACCCCUCUAUUUUUGCAACCAUUCUGCUGUCCAAAGAAGAAAACCUAUCUCUGGGUUUUACAAAGAGCAGAAAAGUAAAUAAUAAAAUAUUACGAAGCAGAGAGUUGCCAGGUAUGACGUCUCUGGAUCAUUUGAGAUUAUUCUGGAAACAUCUGGGCCUGCAUCGUACUCUUAACAGACCGGGGAGAACGAUGGCUUUGUGGAUUAAACACCAUGUGGA
Long non-coding RNA from Oncorhynchus tshawytscha (Chinook salmon), 1057 nucleotides. Lineage: Eukaryota; Metazoa; Chordata; Actinopteri; Salmoniformes; Salmonidae. The record is from Ensembl.